Long non-coding RNA from Tetranychus urticae (two-spotted spider mite), 1357 nucleotides. RefSeq lists it as uncharacterized. The record is from RefSeq and is a predicted model, not a curated record. Lineage: Eukaryota; Metazoa; Arthropoda; Arachnida; Trombidiformes; Tetranychidae.
UUGCAAUGUUUUUUUGAAAGUUUCAGUCUGAAACUUUCAGAUUGAAGUUAAAAUUUCUUCAGAAUUUUUCAGAACUUAUAAAAAAAAUUAGCUAAAUCUGUGUUUCAUAAUCCUUACCAUUCAACCAAUUAAGUAACUUUUGUUGUUCGUACUUUUGAUUACUAUGCUGGUUGAUUAUCUUUUAACAACUAAUGCUUUUUACUCAACAGAUCAAGAAUCAAAGUCACGAGUGUGGCUUUAAAUGGACUUAAGUAGCUUUCUUUAUACUAUAAGUUACAAGAGCAAAUGCUGCUAAAAAUCAUUAUCGAAUGCAUUUGAUGCUCAAAUGAGCAGUAUUUUAUCGCAGCCACAACCAAAAAUUGUUGACAAUGACCUGAUAUCCUUUAAACUGUGCCUGUGCACUUGUUUAAACUUGCUCAAUUUCAGCUGAUUAUUUCAUCAUCCAAUGAUCUGGAUUCAGACUGUCUGCAUUCUCCUGGUUAGCUAAUUUCAGAUGCCAAAAAUGAUUCAACUUGGAGCAAGCUGCUUGAUAUUAAGCACUCCGAUCUCGACUUUUCAUAAUACCUGUCAUUCGUCAUUUUCGGAUUAUUACGUUAUCAGUGGAUUGGAUAAAUAAUGGCGAUUAUUAGGCGAGAAAAAGUCAACAUGUACAAUUCACUGAACGAAUGUAAUAACCGUCGCUGUACAAAUUAACAAACAAAAGGAUUGCUUUCAACUCAAUUUGGAAAGAUUUUCAUAUUCAUCUGCAGACAACGAAAAUAAAAUUCUAUCCAAAGCAUUACAAUCUAAAUCUUGAUGGGAAUCAAAAAUCACACCAUUCUUUGCACAGAAAAAAGUUCCAUAUGUUUUCAACGAACCUUUCAUAUUGAUGGUUUUGCAAUUAACAAACAGUCUCGCAGUUCAAAAAAAUUUGACUUCUUAAAGUUAUAUUUGUCCAUCACAGUAUAAUAAAGAAGAUCGUAGAAAGCUUAACAAUGAACUUAAAAUAAAAUAAAAUAAAGUUAAAUAUUUCAAGUGCAAACGCUCAACAUAACAAAACUGCUUAACGACCACAAAAAAAUAAUAGUGAUUGACUCGAAAGAAUACAAGACAUUUCGAUUCAUAUUUUCGGUAGUUGAGUCAUUUAGUCAAUGUAGAGUUCACAAGCAACUUUGAUUAAAUAGCUUAAUUAGUAAGCUUGUGCAUACGCAUUGAUGCUUUGGCUCCAAUAUUUGAUCAUGGCUGUGACUAGACUUUUUUCCAAACAAAUAUUCACACCACUAUCCUCUUAAGGAAACCUUUCUUCUAAAAAAGUAAGAGAGAAAGUAAGAGUAAGUCGAGAAAGAAAGAGUGAAAACGUUUCCUUAAGAGAAUAGUG